AUAAAGUGGACAUGAUCAGGGAACAUUUAAUGCUUGGGCAAACCACCGCUAGGUCUGUGGACGCCUUACCAUUAAUUAUUACACCAUAGCCAUGUACUGAGUCACUUAAAUAAAUAGAAUGAUUGUCCAUAUGCUUUAUCGAAGUAAUGGAAACGUGUGUCCUUUAGAAAGCUUGCUUUUCCUGGAAGGUUACAUCAUUGGAGUUAUCCCCCACACCCACCUUUUAAAAAUAGUGUCUUGCUGUGGAACCCAGACUGGCCUUGAACUUCCGUUACUCCCACCUCUGUUUUCUGGGUACUAGAUACAAUGAUGGAUUUCCAGAUGACAGCAAAUAUUUGUAAAACACUUGCACCUGCCGACCUUCCACAGAACUGAAGUUUCUUCACCCCUGAUUCAUGGACUCGGAUGACACUUCCAUCCUUUCCAGACAGAUGGGAGCUUUUCAGGUCAUAAUGGUGGGAGAGGAUGAGCUAGCAGCUUGUCGUCUUGGGAGAGUUCCCCAGCACCAUUAAGGAAGGCGUCACAGAUCCCAGUCCUCUUGUUUACAUGCUUGCUGAGCAAGCUGAUGGUGUGAGGUGAAAAUGGCUUUCAAACUGCCUUGGAUGGCUGCUCACCACUCCUUCUACCCUGAGCUCAGAAGCAAGGGCAUCGCACAACAGGAAAUCCAACAGUCAUUAUGCCUGAUACCAAACAAAUAAGUCCUUUCAUCUUCUUCAUCAAAAUCUACGACUCCUGCAAACGCCUUUACUCCUGUAUUCCUGCAGACUCCUUACCAAAGGAAUAAAUGCUUUUUGUAUCA
Long non-coding RNA from Mus musculus (house mouse), 799 nucleotides. RefSeq annotates it as predicted gene, 32448. The transcript has 2 exons. The record is from RefSeq and is a predicted model, not a curated record. NCBI's taxonomy places the organism in Eukaryota, Metazoa, Chordata, Mammalia, Rodentia, Muridae.